RNAcentral lists this ribosomal RNA (468 nucleotides) under uncultured bacterium. Its description in RNAcentral is "partial 16S ribosomal RNA". It matches the Rfam family "Bacterial small subunit ribosomal RNA", at positions 28 to 507 of the family's 1533-position model. The record is from RNAcentral.
GACGAACGCUGGCGGCGUGCUUAACACAUGCAAGUCGAACGGAAAGGCCCUGCUUUUGUGGGGUGCUCGAGUGGCGAACGGGUGAGUAACACGUGAGUAUCCUGCCCUUGACUUUGGGAUAACUUCAGGGAAAUGGGGCUAAUACCGGAUAGGAGCUCCUGCUGCAUGGUGGGGGUUGGAAAGUUUCGGCGGUUGGGGAUGGACUCGCGGCUUAUCAGCUUGUUGGUGGGGUAGUGGCUUACCAAGGCUUUGACGGGUAGCCGGCCUGAGAGGGUGACCGGCCACAUUGGGACUGAGAUACGGCCCAGACUCCUACGGGAGGCAGCAGUGGGGAAUAUUGCACAAUGGGCGGAAGCCUGAUGCAGCAACGCCGCGUGCGGGAUGACGGCCUUCGGGUUGUAAACCGCUUUCGCCUGUGACGAAGCGUGAGUGACGGUAAUGGGUAAAGAAGCACCGGCUAACUACGUG